RNAcentral lists this ribosomal RNA (504 nucleotides) under uncultured bacterium. Its description in RNAcentral is "bacterial SSU rRNA". It matches the Rfam family "Bacterial small subunit ribosomal RNA", at positions 8 to 507 of the family's 1533-position model. The record is from RNAcentral.
AGAGUUUGAUCCUGGCUCAGGAUGAACGCUAGCGGCAGGCUUAACACAUGCAAGUCGAGGGGCAGCAAGGGUAGCAAUACCUGUUGGCGACCGGCAAACGGGUGCGGAACACGUACGCAACCUACCCCAAACAGGUGAAUAGCCUUCUGAAAAGGAGAUUAAUACACCGUAAGAUAUAUGACUGGCAUCAGUUGUAUAUAAUAGCUAAGGCGGUUUGGGAUGGGCGUGCGCCUGAUUAGGUAGUUGGUAGGGUAACGGCCUACCAAGCCAACGAUCAGUAACUGGUGUGAGAGCACGACCAGUCACACGGGCACUGAGACACGGGCCCGACUCCUACGGGAGGCAGCAGUGAGGAAUAUUGGUCAAUGGACGCAAGUCUGAACCAGCCAUGCCGCGUGAAGGAUGAAGGCGUUCUGCGUUGUAAACUUCUUUUAUCUGGGAAGAAACCUACUUUUUCUAAAGUAGCCGACGGUACCAGAGGAAUAAGCACCGGCUAACUCCGUG